Molecule: ribosomal RNA, 409 nt
Filed under: Actinomycetes bacterium
Lineage: Bacteria; Bacillati; Actinomycetota; Actinomycetes
Description: Actinobacteria bacterium partial 16S ribosomal RNA
Rfam family: Bacterial small subunit ribosomal RNA
Source: RNAcentral
UGGGGAAUAUUGCACAAUGGGCGGAAGCCUGAUGCAGCGACGCCGCGUGGGGGAUGAAGGCCUUCGGGUUGUAAACUCCUUUCGACAGGGACGAAGCUUUUGUGACGGUACCUGUAUAAGAAGCACCGGCUAACUACGUGCCAGCAGCCGCGGUAAUACGUAGGGUGCGAGCGUUGUCCGGAAUUACUGGGCGUAAAGAGCUCGUAGGUGGUUUGUCGCGUCGUCUGUGAAAUUCCGGGGCUUAACUCCGGGCGUGCAGGCGAUACGGGCUGACUUGAGUGCUGUAGGGGAGACUAGAAUUCCUGGUGUAGCGGUGAAAUGCGCAGAUAUCAGGAGGAACACCGAUGGCGAAGGCAGGUCUCUGGGCAGUAACUGACGCUGAGGAGCGAAAGCAUGGGUAGCGAACAGG